Molecule: transfer RNA, 72 nt
Filed under: Tupanvirus deep ocean
Lineage: Varidnaviria; Bamfordvirae; Nucleocytoviricota; Megaviricetes; Imitervirales; Mimiviridae
Also listed under: 1 other name
Description: tRNA-Gln
Rfam family: tRNA
About the family: Transfer RNA (tRNA) molecules are approximately 80 nucleotides in length. Their secondary structure includes four short double-helical elements and three loops (D, anti-codon, and T loops). Further hydrogen bonds mediate the characteristic L-shaped molecular structure. tRNAs have two regions of fundamental functional importance: the anti-codon, which is responsible for specific mRNA codon recognition, and the 3' end, to which the tRNAs corresponding amino acid is attached (by aminoacyl-tRNA synthetases). tRNAs cope with the degeneracy of the genetic code in two manners: having more than one tRNA (with a specific anti-codon) for a particular amino acid; and 'wobble' base-pairing, i.e. permitting non-standard base-pairing at the 3rd anti-codon position.
Source: RNAcentral
GAUCCCAUGGUGUAAUGGUAGCACACCAGGUUUUGACCCUGACAGCGCUCGUUCGAUUCGGGCUGGGAUCAC